RNAcentral lists this ribosomal RNA (246 nucleotides) under Triticum aestivum (bread wheat). Its description in RNAcentral is "partial small subunit ribosomal RNA". The record is from RNAcentral. Lineage: Eukaryota; Viridiplantae; Streptophyta; Magnoliopsida; Poales; Poaceae.
AUGCCAAUAGUGCAGAGGCCUAAGGUGUCGCUACCCACCACUUUCCCGAUGCUGACACAUAGUAACUAUGGCGACUGGUCGCUUCUGAUGAGAGCCAUCCUACAGACGCACGAUCUGUGGGACGCCAUGGACACCGGCGCCGCUGACUACCAUGACGAUCGAGCGGCACUCGAGUUCGUGCUUCGGGGGGUGCCCCCGGAGAUGCUCAUUGUCCUCUCCACCAAGCAUACUGCUAAGGAGGCCUAG